RNAcentral lists this ribosomal RNA (502 nucleotides) under uncultured bacterium. Its description in RNAcentral is "bacterial SSU rRNA". It matches the Rfam family "Bacterial small subunit ribosomal RNA", at positions 8 to 507 of the family's 1533-position model. The record is from RNAcentral.
AGAGUUUGAUCAUGGCUCAGAUUGAACGCUGGCGGCAUGCCUUACACAUGCAAGUCGAACGGUAACGGGCCUUCGGGUGCCGACGAGUGGCGAACGGGUGAGUAAUGUAUCGGAACGUACCUUUCAGUGGGGGAUAACGUAGCGAAAGUUACGCUAAUACCGCAUAUUCUGUGAGCAGGAAGGCAGGGGAUCGCAAGACCUUGCGCUGAUUGAGCGGCCGAUAUCAGAUUAGCUAGUUGGUGAGGUAAAGGCUCACCAAGGCGACGAUCUGUAGCGGGUCUGAGAGGAUGAUCCGCCACACUGGAACUGAGACACGGUCCAGACUCCUACGGGAGGCAGCAGGUGGGGAAUUUUGGACAAUGGGGCAACCCUGAUCCAGCCAUGCCGCGUGAGUGAAGAAGGCCUUCGGGUUGUAAAGCUCUUUCGGCCGGGAAGAAAUCGUAUGGGUUAAUACCCUGUGCGGAUGACGGUACCGGCAUAAGAAGCACCGGCUAACUACGUG